GACCCAGCUGGCGUCCCAAGAUGGCGGCGGCGGUAGCGCCCGGGAGGCCAAGGCGGUGUCCCGGCUGUUGAGGUGACUCCGCCGGACAAGUGACGGGGUCGGCCGGACCGGAGGGCGGCGGCGGACGCACGGCCGCCCGGAGUGCUCGGCCGGGACUUGGCGGUGAGGCGGCGGCGCCGGGGGAUGCUGGUGCUGGGCCGGGCCUCUCCCUCCUCAACUUAGGGCGGCGGCGGGCCCGCACCCCUGGUUCCCGGGCCAUGGCGCUGAGGGAACUUAAAGUGUGCCUGCUCGGGGUAAGUUGCAGCGGGCGGGGUCCGGAGGGUCGCGGAGGCCGGGCGGGCGGGCCCCGGCACUCCAGGGCCCCUUGCACCCCUUUACGCUCAGCGCGGGACGCAGCCCCCCACAGACCCCUUAGGGCGGCGGGACCAGCAGGCUGUGCCCCACCCAAGGCCCCCAGGUGUCAGGGUGGCCCCCGGCGCCCCGGAGCGACGCCCUCUUUCCAUCCCACAGUGAAGUAGCCCACAGGUAGUUUCCUUCCAACUUUGCGAGGGACACCUUUAAAGUUAGACAAGUUUCUGAAAGUUAACCCUCCCCAGCAGGGCUUUGGGUUUUAUGCGCACACUUGGCCUCCUUUCAGCAAUGUGGGAUGGUUUUGAACUUUUGGGACGUCUUUGACACUUCUGCAAGAGUUACUUUCCAUUAAAGUUCACUCUUCACUAGAACAGGGAGGAGUUACCAGGACUUUGAAGGUUCAGCUUCCGGUCCUCUCACAGUAGUUUGGCCUUUUCAGAGCCUUCUAAUGAUCUCCUUCCUGAGUUUCUGUUUUAAUGAC
Molecule: long non-coding RNA, 832 nt
Filed under: Mus musculus (house mouse)
Lineage: Eukaryota; Metazoa; Chordata; Mammalia; Rodentia; Muridae
Description: long non-coding RNA chr2:173659848-173660680
Source: RNAcentral